GAACUUCGCCAGCUCCUCGGGGUGAGAAGUUCAUGGCUCACCUGGGGGCUCUCCAGGCUCUAUGGGGAGGCAGAGCCUGAAAACCGCACCCCUUCAUUCCUGGAGCCCCGCGAGGACCCCGCAUUCCCACCCAGGGAGACUGUUUAUCCUCUGGUUUUUCUCUCAGAGCGAUUAUUGAAGGCCAAUCGCAGGCAAGCGGAGGCCAAAGCCCUGGGAAAGGCAUGGCCUGGCUUAGAUGGAGAAAGAAGCCUGACCAGGGCCACCUCCCUCUGGUGUAUUCCCUGUCACAGUCCCUCGUUUGUGUUUCAGCAUCUACCUCUCUGGGCCCUUUCUCCUGCGGAGCACCAAGCUGACCCAAAUGCAGACAGUGUACACUGUGGAAGCAAUCUUCGAGAGGUCAAGCCCACUGUCAAAGGUCACAUGGCUUGGAGAGGCAGAUGGGACAUUGGAUGCAGACAGGCAGGCGGUGUUGCUAUAGAGAAUCACGCAGGGAGGAAUGAAGAGAGAGGACACAAUGGAAAAGGAAAAUCAGAACCUGCCAUCAGAAACCCCAUUUUCUCCUCGAUCUCAGCCAAGUGCCAAGAAGAAAACAACCUGAUUAGCUGAUUGAAGUGAUUCCCACUAAGAUGCCAUCACUUAACUUUUCUUGGAGCUCACUCA
This 660-nucleotide long non-coding RNA is filed under the name Cricetulus griseus (Chinese hamster). RNAcentral describes it as "lncRNA (ENSCGRG00000024759.1)". The record is from RNAcentral. Lineage: Eukaryota; Metazoa; Chordata; Mammalia; Rodentia; Cricetidae.